This 563-nucleotide ribosomal RNA is filed under the name uncultured bacterium. RNAcentral describes it as "partial 16S ribosomal RNA". It matches the Rfam family "Bacterial small subunit ribosomal RNA", at positions 355 to 938 of the family's 1533-position model. The record is from RNAcentral.
UGGGGAAUAUUGGACAAUGGGCGCAAGCCUGAUCCAGCCAUGCCGCGUGAGUGAUGAAGGCCCUAGGGUUGUAAAGCUCUUUCGCCAGGGGACGAUAAUGACGGUACCUGGAUAAGAAGCCCCGGCUAACUUCGUGCCAGCAGCCGCGGUAAUACGAAGGGGGCUAGCGUUGUUCGGAAUCACUGGGCGUAAAGCGCACGUAGGCGGAUCUUUAAGUCAGGGGUGAAAUCCCGAGGCUCAACCUCGGAACUGCCUUUGAUACUGGAGGUCUCGAGUCCGGGAGAGGUGAGUGGAACUGCGAGUGUAGAGGUGAAAUUCGUAGAUAUUCGCAAGAACACCAGUGGCGAAGGCGGCUCACUGGCCCGGUACUGACGCUGAGGUGCGAAAGCGUGGGGAGCAAACAGGGUUAGAUACCCUGGUAGUCCACGCCGUAAACUAUGGAUGCUAGCCGUUGGGCAGCUUGCUGCUCAGUGGCGCAGCUAACGCUUUAAGCAUCCCGCCUGGGGGAGUACGGUCGCAAGAUUAAAACUUAAAGGAAUUGACGGGGGUCAUAGCUGUUUCCU